GCGCGAAACCUCUGCAAUAGGCGAAAGCCUGACAGGGUUACUCUGAGUGGUUCCCGCUAAGGGGAUCUUUUGGCACCUCUAAAAAUGGUGCAGAAUAAGGGGUGGGCAAGCCUGGUGUCAGCCGCCGCGGUAAUACCAGCACCCCGAGUGGUCGGGACGAUUAUUGGGCCUAAAGCAUCCGUAGCCGGUCAUGCAAGUCUUCCGUUAAAUCCAGCCGCUCAACGGUUGGGCUGCGGAGGAUACUACGUGGCUAGGAGGCGGGAGAGGCAAGCGGUACUCAGUGGGUAGGGGUAAAAUCCUUUGAUCCAUUGAAGACCACCAGUGGCGAAGGCGGCUUGCCAGAACGCGCUCGACGGUGAGGGAUGAAAGCUGGGGGAGCAAACCGGAUUAGAUACCCGGGUAGUCCCAGCUGUAAACGAUGCAGACUCGGUGAUGGGAUGGCCUCGAGCUAUCCCAGUGCCGCAGGGAAGCCCGUUAAGUCUGCCCGCCUGGGGGAUACGGUCGCAAGACUGAAACUUAAGGAAGUU
Molecule: ribosomal RNA, 527 nt
Filed under: uncultured archaeon
Lineage: Archaea
Description: bacterial SSU rRNA
Rfam family: Archaeal small subunit ribosomal RNA
Source: RNAcentral